This 80-nucleotide transfer RNA is filed under the name Phaeodactylibacter sp. RNAcentral describes it as "tRNA-Lys". It matches the Rfam family "tRNA". From Rfam's summary of the family: Transfer RNA (tRNA) molecules are approximately 80 nucleotides in length. The record is from RNAcentral. Lineage: Bacteria; Pseudomonadati; Bacteroidota; Saprospiria; Saprospirales; Haliscomenobacteraceae.
UGGGGUAUAGCGCAGUCCGGCCAGCGCGUCCCGGCAUUUAGCCGGGAAAGCUGCAGGUUCGAAUCCUGCUACCCCGGCCA